Molecule: long non-coding RNA, 390 nt
Organism: Penaeus chinensis
Lineage: Eukaryota; Metazoa; Arthropoda; Malacostraca; Decapoda; Penaeidae
Exons: 2
Source: RefSeq, a predicted model, not a curated record
CUGACAUCAUAUAGCAUUAACUAUGUAUAUAUAAAAUUCCAUGGUACACUGACAUAUGCGCAGUAUAACUUACGGAACAGUAGACGAAGCCAGCGACGUCAUCGGGGUCGGCGCGGAAGCAGCAGUCGCAGUCGCAGAUCUCAGGGACCUUAUUACACGUAGCGACAGUGGCCUCGUGAGCGCAGGUCCUGAGGUCUUGGUCCCAGGCCGUUCCAGGAGGGCAGUCCCUUAGGAUAGGCCCUGUUAGGGUGCACUGUAUGUACUGAUGACAGUUGGUAGGAUGCGGGAUGAACUGGACCAAAGAGGGAUCUUGACACCGGAUCGGAUGGCCGUCAAUGAGGAGGCAGGAAGGCAGGGAACAUCCCUCGGCGCCGGCAGCGAUGGCCAGAA